RNAcentral lists this unclassified non-coding RNA (263 nucleotides) under air metagenome. Its description in RNAcentral is "partial contains small subunit ribosomal RNA, internal transcribed spacer 1, and 5.8S ribosomal RNA". The stretch from base 1 to 46 matches the Rfam family "Eukaryotic small subunit ribosomal RNA", at positions 1786 to 1831 of the family's 1831-position model. The record is from RNAcentral.
AAGUCGUAACAAGGUUUCCGUAGGUGAACCUGCGGAAGGAUCAUUAUCGAAUCUUUGAAGGAGCUGUUUGCUGGCCCUUGACGGGGCAUGUGCACGCUUCGCUCAAAUCCUCCAUUCAUACCCCUGUGCAUCGUUUGUAGGGUCGCGUCGGUCGAGAGGCCGCACGCGCUCUAUGUCUAUCAUAAACUCUUGUAUGUGUGUAGAAUGUUCAAUGCGUCCGACGCAUCUUUAUACAACUUUCAGCAACGGAUCUCUUGGCUCUC